GGGGUCUCCUAGCAACUGUCUUAACAAGCUGCAGCUCCCAGAAUUCCUUGGGUAAGAGGGGGAAAGCCAUGACUGUUACCAUGGUGCCUUAAAUGUAUGGCCUGAAUGUGGCCACAGGCUUAAAAGCAGUAGCGCAGUUAAGUAUUUUCAGACUCUAGAUAUAAUGGGUUCCCUCUUUCGAUCACUUUGCUUACUUUAAAAUAUGGCCACCCAUUUUGCUGCCUGAGGCAAUGGACAAGAUGGUGCCGCCCUCUGUUCCAUUUACAGAAGCUAACUGGCAGUCGAACCUGACUUCAACGCUGGCAAUGGGGCAGCAGGCUAGCCUGGGGUGUAGAUGAGAGGUCUGUGGCACGCAUAGCUCUGAUCUCCAACAGAGAGGAAUGGCUGGGAGGGCUCAGGAGAAAUGGGAGGAAGGGGAAGGGGUCUGUCUCUCAAGCAUAUCCUGCAAGUGUCCCCCCCAAAAAAUGGGACAUCCCGUUUUCUCAUGUGAGCGCACAGCGGCCAUUUUGGGUGCUGUGAUCUUGCACAAUUUUGACCUUGCCUCCUCAAAAGGUGUUUUUUCAGGGCCACAAUCUUGCAUGACCCUGAAAAACUGCAUCUUUGGGGCUCCAUGACUCACACGGGCAGGAAGAUGUGCAUCCUGGUUUUUUUGGACUCAAAAUGUCGGGUGGUAUUCUCUAGGUGAUCGCCCUACUCAUCCCAGUGGUAGACUCAGCCCUGCCUGCUGCAUUGUGGACCCACCUGCUCAUUCUGCUGAGUAGGGCACUAGGCAUCGACUCCAAAUUCCUGCCCUGAGAGCAUCGCUACUUAAAAGAGGCAUUCCCUCCUGUGUGACAGAGGAGAAACACCUCCAAAAUGGCGUCUGCUGAGAUUCAAAAGUACUGUGUGUUUUCCCCCCCCCCUUCUUUAGAAAGCUAUUAUUUCUGACGUGAUUUAUGCAUAUUGGACCAAUGGACCAAAAUUCACCUGAUUUAAUCAGUCAAGACUUCUCCAAUCUGAUGACAGCCCUAAGAAAGCUGGAGAAUGUCCCCAGUUUUGUCUUCUGAACUUUGGAUCUCUCUUUUCUGUUCCCUUCUCAUCUAAUGUCUAGGCUCUUCCUCCACAGCUUCCCUCUGCUUCAUUAGGUAAUUUGUAUAACUAUAUUCUAACCCAUUAACCUCCAUUUGCUGCCAGAGGGUGGAGGGGGAGAGGCG
This is a non-coding RNA of Podarcis lilfordi (Lilford's wall lizard), 1193 nucleotides long. Lineage: Eukaryota; Metazoa; Chordata; Lepidosauria; Squamata; Lacertidae. The record is from the annotation of a GenBank genome assembly.